CCGCCGCACGCGGGCGGGGCUGGGAGCGCGCGCCCGAGAGGCGCGUGGGGCACCCGCCGCAAAGAGGAGCCUGCUGGUCUGCUGGCGGGCAGGCGGCGCUGGGCCGGAGCCUCUCCCUCCGGUGCGCACAGCGCACCCUCUCCUCCCCCGGCCGCCCGUCGCAGCGCGGAGAGGGCGUGUCGGCACCCUGCCUGGCGAGCGCCCACCCCUACAAUGGCUGCGAGCGCGCGGGACGGAGGGUGCACCGCCGCUCCCCGGGGACUUGCACGGGUGGCGCGCCUAGCCCAGAGCCCGCUUGUAGUGAGCGCUCAGUAGGGCGGGAAAGCUGCUGCCGCUACUGCGGCCUUCUGAGAAGACGCCCAUUCUCUGAUGUCAGGACUGCAUCGCCGAGUCCUGAUUGCAAAUAGCGAAAUAUAUAAUUAAGGAGAGUUCGGGGGCGUAUCCUGCAAUGGGAUGCCGAGUUCGAUAAAGUUGCAGGAUGCUGGGAAAGUGGAUUGAUUUGCUGUUGCUAAAUGAAUGGAAACAGCGUUAGAGCUUCUGUCCACGAUCCAUCAGUCUAUCGAGAUUGCUGAUUGCCUAUGACUUGGACGGUUGAUGGUUUUCAGGCCCACUGAGAGCAGCCAGCGUUGGUAUAACCGCAGGGAGCCCUCCUGGGAGGUUGAACCUGCAGAGCGCAAAUGUGCCCAGGUUGAUUUGGGGCCUAGUGGUCCAUUUUCACAGCUCCACUGCCUAUCUGCAUAACCAGGAGCCCUCAUUCAGAUGAACGCCAAAUGGGCCAGAGGGAGGAGAAUCAAAUGAGCAACUUUUAAAAGAUAUUAAGACAUAGGCACCUAACUCCGGACAGUUCCUUUAACCCUUGAGCUAACCAUUUGAAGCACAAAACAUAACAAAAGAAAAGACUGGGGGGAGUGGGGCCAAAAGAAACCAAGUGCAAAAUUCUGUACACUUGUGUCAGAUUCACUCCGUAAUGGGAAAAGGUCUGGCUUUGAAAACUUUAUGGAUCAAAGGGAUGCAUGGAGUUACACAGCACAGCUGCAGAAGAUAAUGUUCCCCUGGAUCACUCUGCCCAACUCUUAACUGCAACCCACCUUCCCCAUCCGUCUCCCCGAAAUCACCCGGAAGGGUGUUACCUUCAGGAAGUAACUGAUCUCUUGAUCACCCCUGCUGGAUCCUGUCCCCAAGGGCGUUCGAAUGCAUCCGACUCAUCUUCACCUUGCCAAUAACGGGUGCUUGACACAUCGUUUGCUGCCAAUCAUUAUUGUGAUUUUAAUACUAUUGGUAUUCUAACUAUCAAGAUGACUGCUUGUAGAGCCAGAUUGCCUGGAUUCAAACUCCAGUUCACAACCUACUAACUGUAUGCCUUUAGGUAAACUCAGAUGCCUCUGAUGGAUUCGAAAUAACCAGAUAUAUUUCUGAAUUGCUUCAUAUGAAACAGUUGGGAAAAGAGAUUAAGGAAGGGAUGGUGCUGUUGGCUCCAGGCAGUGACUCAAGGAGGCAUUCAUGGUGAAAGAAGAAAGGCCUUUCUCAGGUGAUGCUUCAUCUUCCCCCACGUGCUCUGAUACCCUGUCCCUGCCUUGAUGUGUCUAUAAAUACAAACAGCAGGAGACCCGCAUCAGUAGACAAAGCAGGUGGCUGCAACCUAUUCUUCUUCCCAAUGGCCACUGGGACAGUUCCUCUCCCCCAGAACUUGUUGUUUAUAUUUAUUUUACACUAAAGCUAUUUUAACAUAAACCUGUUGAAAUAGGAGAGGGCUUCCCAUCUCACACCUCCACAGAUGUGUAUUUUCUAGAACAAAUUCAAGACUAAUCAUAAAAUGAAAACAGAUUUCCACAAAGUUGUUCUUUAUAAUGUAAAUUUUUUUCUGACAGGCAGCUUAAUACUUCAAAGGGCAACCCAUUCCUUUAUUGAUUAUAACUAAUUGUUUGAGAUUUUCUUUAGCAUGAGUUGAAAUUUUUCUUCCUUUGUCAAAGUGAAGGAAGGGACUUGUAUACAAGGAAGGUCCUUGUAUAAAGGACCUAUCAUCAAGGUACCAUCUCUCUUUAAACUUUAACUCCCAGAGGAGAAAUACCUAUAGCCACACAAUUCAUGUACUUUUUAGUCAUUGGAUCUCUAUGACUAUUAUCAUUAUAGAAACUGUUUUAAUAUAAUAAUAAUUUGAAAACUGGAUUUUAAGAAUACAAAUUUAGAAAUAGCAGUUCUCUCUAGAGACUCAUUCAUGAAUAUGGAAAGAUCUUUUAUCAGAUAAUUCCCCCCAGGGGUCCUUUAAAUAGCAAUCUCCUUCGUUUUGAUUCAAUUUGUAGAAAUCCCAUCUAGAUGCAUUACUGGACCACACAUUGUGUAAAGGAAGGUACAUUAUGUGUUGGGUAACCAUUUGGCUCUCUCUUUCUUCCCAACUUGUGACUAAUUGAUUUUGCCAUUAAUUGGGAUUUCCCCUGGAGGCCAUUUGAUCUGUUUGCAGGAUGAGCAGGGAGUUAGGGCAGUCCCUCCAGAUGGGACGGCUUUCAAUAAGCAGACAGUCCAAAGGGGCAUCAGAGUGAUACAGAAACGAUUAAUUGAAUAACUCACUUGAAAAUCAUGUGCUGCUUUAAAGACCUAAAAGCUAAGUAAAUACCUAAGUAAAGGCCAUACUGAUCAAGUAAGACUCCUUGUUGCAGCCUGGCUGAGAAUAAUGCCAGGAAAAAAAAAAUUUAAGAGCAUCCCAUUAAUGGAUUCUUUAAAAUACUGGAAGCAUGAUUCCAGGCAAUAACAUACUGUAAUCCCCAUAAUACUCACAUUUGCAUAACUCUAGAUAAUUUAUGAAGCAUUUUCGCAGAUACUGUGCAGAUCUCACACUGACACGGGGGUGGGUUGGCUGUGAAAGGGCUCAACUGGACUUACAUUCCAGGAGCAGAAACAGGCUUGGAGCUGUGGACUUCUCAGAGGCAUACAACUAGUAAGUGGCAGAAAUAUUACCAGAACCCAAAACUUCUAAUUCUAAAUUUCUUGACAACACACAGCACCAUCUCCCCAGUGCAUCACAGCUAAAACCACCUUACUGGACUCUGUUUUACCCUGGAGAAGAAAUGCAUACUGACUGAGGACUCUGCUCCAUGCCUGGCAAAAUAUUUGUAUUAUUUUUACAAGUAUGUUUUAGUUUUAUACAGAUAAAUACAAUUUUAAAUGGUUAAAGAUGGCCUCAUAUUUAAAAAGCACAUUGGGAGCCACUGUGUUAGAUUAUGCAGUGCAGACAUAGAGAACCAAAAGGCUAUGUGUGGUGGGAAUAGUGAGGCAGAACAAGAACUUUCUAGAAAAGGAAAGAAAGGAGAGAACCUGUGGAGCGGAGCUGGGAACCAGGCUGGAGAGGAGAGGGAAUAGCUGUCCAGGAGCAGCUAUGCAUGUAAACUAGACAUGAGGCUCUAUUUUAUCGAGAAUUUUCCUUCUCUUAUCUCUACAUGCCCUUUCCCACUACCACCUAGCAGUCAGCUUUAUCCCCUGAGAGGACUUAGGGAAAUGGAAGGAGGAGAGGAGCUGACUUUGUCUACCUAAUAAGAGAAGGACAAGGGGAAGCCAUUAUCCUGACCUUUCUGUCUCCCCAGGAAAUGGGUAUCUACCUCUUUGCAUUUGUUUACUAAGAAAGGCUAUUCAAGUGAUUUUUCCUAGAAUAAUGAAAGAUGUUUCUAGAAGGUUUGCUUUCUCCCCAACACAAAGAAGCAGCCAGGAAUUCCUAAAUAUCAAGCUUUUUUAAAAAAAUUCCAUUUCACCAGGCAAUCCACUAUGCACGUGAGAACAGCACCUACUUCAUAUGCUUGUUGUAAGAUGUAAUCAAGACCACGUACCUAAGCUGUUUACACAGGGGCAGGCACAAGUUAGGCAUACCAUGAACAUUUGUGUCUUAGUCUGUUUUCUGCUGCUAUAACAGAAUACCUGAGAUGGAUUAAUUUAUAAACAAUAGAAGUUUAUUUGGCUCACCGUUCAGGAGAUUGGAAAGUCUAAGAGCAUGGUGCCUGCAUCUGGUGAAGGCCUUCAUGUUGUGUCAUCCCAUGGCAGAAGGUGGAAGGCAACAAAGGGCAGCAGUGAGCAAGCAAGAGGAGGCUGGACUCGCUUUUAUAACAAAGGUACUCUGGAGAUAAAUUACCCACUCCUGUGAUAACAACAUUAAUCCAUUCAUGAGGGCGGAGCCCUCUGACCUAAUCACCUUUUAUUAGGCCCCACCUCCCAAAAACUGUUGCAUGGGAUUAAGUUUCCAAAACAUGAACUUUGGGGAACACAUGCAAACAAUAGCAAUUUAUAAAUAAGGACCAAAAUUUGUUGAGGACUUAACAGGUGAACCCAAGAGCUACAAUGGGGCUCCAGGCACAAUCUUUGUCUUCAAGGGGUAUAUUAGUCUGUUCUCCUGCUGCUAAUAAAGACAUAC
RNAcentral lists this long non-coding RNA (4393 nucleotides) under Homo sapiens (human). Its description in RNAcentral is "HSALNT0349566". Lineage: Eukaryota; Metazoa; Chordata; Mammalia; Primates; Hominidae. The record is from RNAcentral.